Molecule: ribosomal RNA, 397 nt
Filed under: uncultured bacterium
Lineage: Bacteria
Description: partial 16S ribosomal RNA
Rfam family: Bacterial small subunit ribosomal RNA
Source: RNAcentral
AUACGUAGGUGACAAGCGUUAUCCGGAUUUACUGGGCGUAAAGGGCGUGUAGGCGGUCUUGCAAGUCAGAAGUGAAAUUCCUGAGCUCAACUCGGGCGCUGCUUCUGAAACUGCAGGACUUGAGUGCUGGAGGGGAUAGCGGAAUUCCUAGUGGAGCGGUAAAAUGCGCAGAUAUUAGGAAGAACACCGGUGGCGAAGGCGGCUAACUGGACAGUAACUGACGCUGAGGCGCGAAAGCGUGGUGAGCAAACAGGAUUAGAUCCCCUGGUAGUCCACGCUGUAAACGAUGAAUACUAGGUGUAGGGGGUAUCGACUCCCUCUGUGCCGCAGUUAACACAAUAAGUAUUCCGCCUGGGGAGUACGGCCGCAAGGUUGAAACUCAAAUGAAUUGACGGGG